Molecule: long non-coding RNA, 1011 nt
Filed under: Equus caballus (horse)
Lineage: Eukaryota; Metazoa; Chordata; Mammalia; Perissodactyla; Equidae
Description: lncRNA (ENSECAG00000055045.1)
Source: RNAcentral
AUGCCCUUCACGACUGUCGCACCAAAGUCCCUUGUCCUCCACACUCUCAAGUUUUCCUCCUACCCUCAGAGUGUCGUCAUAUCUCCGCUAGGUACUUCUGUGCCAGCCCCAGACUUCACCAAUGCGGAGAAAUCAAAAGCCUGAAAUAGGAAACACAGAGGGGACCCCCUCUGUGUUUCCUAUUUCAGGCUUUUGAUUUCUCCGCAUUGGUGAAGUCUGGGGCUGGCACAGAAGUACCUAGCGGAGAUAUGACGACACUCUGAGGGUAGGAGGAAAACUUGAGAGUGUGGAGGACAAGGGACUUUGGUGCGACAGUCGUGAAGGGCAUGGUGGGCGCAGGGCUGUGUCUCGUGUCCCCUAUGUGCCUUCUCCCACACCACCUUAGGGUCAGCAUAGCGGUGGGACAGGAGGUCACAGUGGACACUGAUGGACAUGCUGUGAGAAAAUAUGGCUCCCUUGUCAAGUUAAGACGUUUAUUCUGCCAACAGGGUUUUACUUUCCAUUUUCCCAGGGAACUGAGUGUUUGUCUGCAGGUGGAGUCAGAGGCUUGAUCUCUGUGUGUUGUGACACACAGCAGGUGACAUGACACUUGGUAGGAGGAGAGGACUCAGAUGGUUGUCUCUGGUGAAUAAUCGCUCUUGGUAGAGGUGCCCAGUCACUCUUUCGUGCUGUUGAUGAGUUGUGUCCCCAUGGAGAGAAUGAUGAAAGCGAGCUGCUGUUGCUGCUGUGAUAUUUCCACAGACCACGCAGACACUUCUUCCUUCCACCAUCACAUGACUCAAUUGCCUUUUUCAAGUCCCUCAAAAAGCGCAUGCCGGCAAUGGCCGAAUGUGGGGUGUGGGAAAUUCUGGGUCCCUGGGGAGAAAUUGGCCGUGGCCCGCCGUCAGGCUUGCGUGCUGUGACAUGAAGGUGCUGAACAGAAUGUCGUCCACCCUGCAGGGCGAUGGCAUCUUAGGAGUCAUUAGGGAUGCUGAAUUUCUGGAUGGGAGUUGGGCUGGAGCUUUAGCCAAG